AGAGUUUGAUCCUGGCUCAGGAUGAACGCUGGCGGCGUGCCUAACACAUGCAAGUCGAACGAAGCACCUUACUUGAUUCUUCGGAUGAAGGUCUGGUGACUGAGUGGCGGACGGGUGAGUAACGCGUGGGUAACCUGCCCUGUACAGGGGGAUAACAGCUGGAAACGGCUGCUAAUACCGCAUAAGCGCACGAGGAGACAUCUCCUUGUGUGAAAAACUCCGGUGGUACAGGAUGGGCCCGCGUCUGAUUAGCUGGUUGGCAGGGUAACGGCCUACCAAGGCAACGAUCAGUAGCCGGUCUGAGAGGAUGAACGGCCACAUUGGAACUGAGACACGGUCCAAACUCCUACGGGAGGCAGCAGUGGGGAAUAUUGCACAAUGGGGGAAACCCUGAUGCAGCAACGCCGCGUGAGUGAAGAAGUAUUUCGGUACGUAAAGCUCUAUCAGCAGGGAAGAUAAUGACGGUACCUGACUAAGAAGCUCCGGCUAAAUACGUGCCAGCAGCCGCGGUAAUACGUAUGGAGCAAGCGUUAUCCGGAUUUACUGGGUGUAAAGGGUGCGUAGGUGGCAGUGCAAGUCAGAUGUGAAAGGCCGGGGCUCAACCCCGGAGCUGCAUUUGAAACUGCUCGGCUAGAGUACAGGAGAGGCAGGCGGAAUUCCUAGUGUAGCGGUGAAAUGCGUAGAUAUUAGGAGGAACACCAGUGGCGAAGGCGGCCUGCUGGACUGUUACUGACACUGAGGCACGAAAGCGUGGGGAGCAAACAGGAUUAGAUACCCUGGUAGUCCGCGCGGUAAACGAUGGAUGCCCGCUGUUGGGCCAACUGGUUCAGCGGCCAAGCGAAAGCAUUAAGCAUCCCACCUGGGGAGUACGCCGGCAACGGUGAAACUCAAAGGAAUUGACGGGGGCCCGCACAAGCGGAGGAACAUGUGGUUUAAUUCGAUGAUACGCGAGGAACCUUACCCGGGCUUGAAUUGCAGAGGAAGGAUUUGGAGACAAUGACGCCCUUCGGGGCCUCUGUGAAGGUGCUGCAUGGUUGUCGUCAGCUCGUGCCGUGAGGUGUCGGCUUAAGUGCCAUAACGAGCGCAACCCCUCUCCAUAGUUGCCAUCAGGUGAAGCUGGGCACUCUGUGGACACUGCCACCGUAAGGUGCGAGGAAGGUGGGGAUGACGUCAAAUCAGCACGGCCCUUACGUCCGGGGCUACACACGUGUUACAAUGGCAGGUACAGAGAGCCGGUCGUAUGCAAAACGGAUCAAAUCCUUAAAGCCUGUCUCAGUUCGGACUGGGGUCUGCAACCCGACCCCACGAAGCUGGAUUCGCUAGUAAUCGCGCAUCAGCCAUGGCGCGGUGAAUACGUUCCCGGGCCUUGUACACACCGCCCGUCAAGCCAUGAAGGCCGGGGGCGCCUAAAGUCCGUGACCGUAAGGAGCGGCCUAGGGCGAAACUGGUGAUUGGGGCUAAGUCGUAACAAGGUA
Molecule: ribosomal RNA, 1475 nt
Filed under: metagenome
Description: bacterial SSU rRNA
Rfam family: Bacterial small subunit ribosomal RNA
Source: RNAcentral